Molecule: long non-coding RNA, 1007 nt
Filed under: Nicotiana tabacum (common tobacco)
Lineage: Eukaryota; Viridiplantae; Streptophyta; Magnoliopsida; Solanales; Solanaceae
Description: long non-coding RNA (NTAB_LNC008718)
Source: RNAcentral
UUCCAAAUUCAUCAUUUUUUUUUAAAAAAACAAAGAAAUAACAGAAGAAUCCACAGCAAAUGAAAUGGCUGCUUCCUUCAGAACAAAACAAAACUCAAGAAAGUCCUGGGGCGAAGGAUUGCUCAUUGUAUGUUUACAAACUCCAAACAAUAGAUGAGGAAUCAGCAGCCAACACUUAGUUUAUCCACGAAUUCAAAUAGGAAUUAAGAUUGGAACAUGAAUGAUCUUACCCACAUAUUUAAACUAGAGUUCACAACCAACUAUAAAUACAUACUUUAAAGUCCAAAACAAUUUCAACCCAAUUGCAACCUUAUAAGCUCAAAUCUGAACCUCAGAACAAGAUGAAAUACCCAAAACAGUAAAAAAACUAAACCAAGUUCGAUGUUUGAACAGAUAGUAGAGAAUUGGUAUUGAUGGAUUUCCUCAUCUUGAAUUACCCAGUUUCACACUUGAACUUCACAUACAAUAGAUCCAAGGUAUACCUGGUGUUGAACAAACAAAGCAAAACAAAAGUGAAUGUUCAACAAAAGAUCAGCAGCAGAAACAACCCAAGUUCAGUUUCAAACAGAAAGGAAAAGACGCAGCAGUCCAAAAAUGUUUUAAUUGAACAGUACCCCAACCUACUUCUAACCAAACUUGUACUAAUCCAAGCUCAAACCAUUUUAACCCCCAAAUGAUCAGAAAUCACUUCAGAAAUUGGAUAAAAAACACAGAUGAAAAAACCAAUGAAAUAGUGACUUUUUGGUGCCUUUUAGCCGUUUGUGUUAUUUUUUAUUUUUAUCUCUGAAAGCUCUCUCAAAACCAAAUAAUUUUUAACUCUCAAAUAUACUAGCCUUCAUUUCAGGAAUUAGAGAUCUAUGAAAUCACAAAGAAACCUCAAUGAAAUAGUGAAAUUUGCAGCCGUUUGUGUUUUUCAGAAUUUUAGCUCUUAGAAAUCUGCCUUGAAAGGCAAGAAAUGAUGCCUUUAUAGGCAAGAAAGUAGGGCAGCGUCAGAUUUUAGUUUUUUG